Molecule: long non-coding RNA, 268 nt
Filed under: Vigna radiata
Lineage: Eukaryota; Viridiplantae; Streptophyta; Magnoliopsida; Fabales; Fabaceae
Description: long non-coding RNA (VRAD_LNC004045)
Source: RNAcentral
UGAGGCCAGAGGUGAAAAAGGAAAGAAAAAUGUGCUAAAAAUUCUGGUGUAGUUGAAAAAGAAAGAACAGGUCUAGAAAUGAGAAAAAAUCAGGAAAAGAGAGUAAAAGAAAAGAAAAGACCUGAAAUUAAAUUCAAAAGAAAGAAACGAUCAGAGUAAGAUAAAAGAAAAAUUAGCUGGCCACAAAGCUUGAGAAAGAAUGCACUAAGUUCUAGUUUUUAGUCUUCUUCUUCACAUUUCUCUGUUUCAUCUUAGUCUCAUUUUUUUU